UUGAACGCUGGCGGCAGGUCUACUAUGCAGUCGAGCGGUAGCACAGAGAGCUUGCUCUCGGGUGACGAGCGGCGGACGGGUGAGUAAUGUCUGGGAAACUGCCUGAUGGAGGGGGAUAACUACUGGAAACGGUAGCUAAUACCGCAUAAUGUCGCAAGACCAAAGUGGGGGACCUUCGGGCCUCUUGCCAUCAGAUGUGCCCAGAUGGGAUUAGCUAGUAGGUGGGGUAACGGCUCACCUAGGCGACGAUCCCUAGCUGGUCUGAGAGGAUGACCAGCCACACUGGAACUGAGACACGGUCCAGACUCCUACGGGAGGCAGCAGUGGGGAAUAUUGCACAAUGGGCGCAAGCCUGAUGCAGCCAUGCCGCGUGUGUGAAGAAGGCCUUCGGGUUGUAAAGCACUUUCAGCGGGGAGGAAGGCGAUAAGGUUAAUAACCUUGGCGAUUGACGUUACCCGCAGAAGAAGCACCGGCUAACUCCGUGCCAGCAGCCGCGGUAAUACGGAGGGUGCAAGCGUUAAUCGGAAUUACUGGGCGUAAAGCGCACGCAGGCGGUCUGUCAAGUCGGAUGUGAAAUCCCCGGGCUCAACCUGGGAACUGCAUUCGAAACUGGCAGGCUAGAGUCUUGUAGAGGGGGGUAGAAUUCCAGGUGUAGCGGUGAAAUGCGUAGAGAUCUGGAGGAAUACCGGUGGCGAAGGCGGCCCCCUGGACAAAGACUGACGCUCAGGUGCGAAAGCGUGGGGAGCAAACAGGAUUAGAUACCCUGGUAGUCCACGCCGUAAACGAUGUCGAUUUGGAGGUUGUGCCCUUGAGGCGUGGCUUCCGGAGCUAACGCGUUAAAUCGACCGCCUGGGGAGUACGGCCGCAAGGUUAAAACUCAAAUGAAUUGACGGGGGCCCGCACAAGCGGUGGAGCAUGUGGUUUAAUUCGAUGCAACGCGAAGAACCUUACCUGGUCUUGACAUCCACAGAACUUUCCAGAGAUGGAUUGGUGCCUUCGGGAACUGUGAGACAGGUGCUGCAUGGCUGUCGUCAGCUCGUGUUGUGAAAUGUUGGGUUAAGUCCCGCAACGAGCGCAACCCUUAUCCUUUGUUGCCAGCGGUUCGGCCGGGAACUCAAAGGAGACUGCCAGUGAUAAACUGGAGGAAGGUGGGGAUGACGUCAAGUCAUCAUGGCCCUUACGACCAGGGCUACACACGUGCUACAAUGGCAUAUACAAAGAGAAGCGACCUCGCGAGAGCAAGCGGACCUCAUAAAGUAUGUCGUAGUCCGGAUUGGAGUCUGCAACUCGACUCCAUGAAGUCGGAAUCGCUAGUAAUCGUAGAUCAGAAUGCUACGGUGAAUACGUUCCCGGGCCUUGUACACACCGCCCGUCACACCAUGGGAGUGGGUUGCAAAAGAAGUAGGUAGCUUAACCUUCGGGAGGGCGCUACCCACUUUG
This 1440-nucleotide ribosomal RNA is filed under the name Klebsiella pneumoniae. RNAcentral's name for it is "bacterial SSU rRNA". It matches the Rfam family "Bacterial small subunit ribosomal RNA". The record is from RNAcentral. Lineage: Bacteria; Pseudomonadati; Pseudomonadota; Gammaproteobacteria; Enterobacterales; Enterobacteriaceae.